RNAcentral lists this ribosomal RNA (459 nucleotides) under uncultured bacterium. RNAcentral describes it as "bacterial SSU rRNA". It matches the Rfam family "Bacterial small subunit ribosomal RNA", at positions 340 to 790 of the family's 1533-position model. The record is from RNAcentral.
UACGGGAGGCAGCAGUGGGGAAUAUUGCACAAUGGGCGAAAGCCUGAUGCAGCUAUGCCGCGUGUAUGAAGAAGGCCUUAGGGUUGUAAAGUACUUUCAUCGGGGAGGAAAAAACAAAACUAAUAAUUUUAUUUCUUGACGUUACCCGAAAAAGAAGCACCGGCUAACUCCGUGCCAGCAGCCGCGGUAAUACGGAGGGUGCUAGCGUUAAUCAGAAUUACUGGGCGUAAAGAGCACGUAGGUGGUUUUUUUAAAGUCAGAUGUGAAUCCCUGGGCUUAACCUAGGAACUGCAUUUUGAAACUGAAAUACUAGAGUAUCGUAGAGGGAGGUAGAAUUCUAGGUGUAGCGGUGAAAUGCGUAGAUAUCUGGAGGAAUACCUGUGGCGAAAGCGGCCUCCUAAACGAAUACUGACACUGAGGUGCGAAAGCGUGGGGAGCAAACGAGGAUUAGAUACCCGU